Molecule: long non-coding RNA, 1244 nt
Organism: Lagopus leucura (white-tailed ptarmigan)
Lineage: Eukaryota; Metazoa; Chordata; Aves; Galliformes; Phasianidae
Exons: 8
Source: RefSeq, a predicted model, not a curated record
CCAAAGAGUGGACGUUUCUGUGUCAAGCAAGAAACAUUCCUUGUUCUGAUGAUUUUUCCUGAACGACUACCUUGGGAGAGCCAGUGAAAAUCAGAGCUUGGAAUAUUGCUGGGUUACCCUCUGACACAUUUUCUACUGAUAACGACAUCAUUAUCUCAAAUGCAAGAAGAUGGCCUCUUAUGAUAGAUUCUCAGGGUCAAGCAAAUAAAUGGAUAAAGAAUAUGGAAAAAGUCAAUAGCUUACACGUGAUCAAGCUCAGCGACCCUCAGUUUGUUACAACACUGGAAAACUGCAUUCAGUUUGACAGUCCUGGGAAUAUCGGAGAAGAAUUGGAUCCUCUUCCAGAGCCACUAUUGCUCAAACAGACAUUUAAGCAGUCAGGAAGAGCAUGCAUUUGCCUCGGAUACUCCACUAUUGAGUAUGCUCCCAAAUUCCGCAUUUAUACUACAACUAUGCUGAGAAAUCCACGCUAUCUUCCUGAAAUAUCUGCCAAGGUAACGCUAUUGAAUUUCAUGAUAACUUCAGAAGGAAUGCAGGAUCAGCUUCUUGGAAUAGUGGUUGCAAGAGAAAGACCAGAUCUUGAAGGAGAAAAACAAGCCCUCAUCCUUCAAGGGGCUGCAAAUAAAAGGUUCUGGCUAACAAGAUUUCUGAAAAGCAAGCUGUAGCUGAAGAAACAGAAAAGAAGAUUGAUGCCACUCGUGUGGGCUAUCGUCCUAUUUCUGUCCAUUCAUCAAUUUUAUUUUUUUCUAUCACCGAUCUAGCCAACAUUGAGCCGAUGUAUCAGUACUCUCAUGUGGUUUAUUAGCCUUUUCACCAAGUCUAUAGAUAACUCAGAGAUAUCAGAAGAUUUACAAACAAGGUUGAAGAUUCUUAAGGAUCAUUUCAUUUACUCUUUUUACACCAAUGUCUGUUGGUCACUGUGUGACAGUGAACAUACGCUGGUCAAGCUGCUCUUCUCUUUUUGUCUAACUGCGAAUCUCCUGAAAUAUGACAAAAUGAUUAGCGAGGAUGAGUGGAAAUUCCUGUUGACCGGUGGCAUAGGCUUGGACAAGAUAGGAUGAAAUCUGUCAGCUGAAGACUUGCCGUGCUUCGCUAACAUUCAUCAGGAUUUUACGUGACUUAAAGACGGAUGGAAAACUGUGUACAACAGCUUGGAUGCUCAGCACAAGGAUUUUCCUGCAGAGUGGCAAGCAAAGUUGGGCGAAUUCUAAAGGAUGCUCAUCAUGCGCUGUAUGAGACCUGAC